This 307-nucleotide ribosomal RNA is filed under the name Clostridioides difficile. RNAcentral's name for it is "bacterial SSU rRNA". It matches the Rfam family "Bacterial small subunit ribosomal RNA", at positions 445 to 752 of the family's 1533-position model. Lineage: Bacteria; Bacillati; Bacillota; Clostridia; Peptostreptococcales; Peptostreptococcaceae. The record is from RNAcentral.
AAAUCUGUGUACGUGAAGAAUACAAGGACGGGACUAGGGGAGGCAGACCCGGGUACCUACGGGGCAGGUGUCGCGGUAAUGCGGAGGGGGAUAGGGGUAUCUGGAGUAACUGGGAGUGAUGGGUGAGUAGGGGGUCUGUGAAGACAGGGGGGAAAGGCUACGGGUCAAGCGGGGUAAGCGCUGGAAGCGGGGAGAGUUGAGUGCAGGAGAGGAGAGUGGAAUUCCGAGGGUAGCGGGGAAAUGCGGAGAUAGUAGGAGGAACGUCAGUUGGGAAGGCGGCUCUCGGGACUGUAACUGACGCUGAGGC